UACGUAGGGGGCAAGCGUUGUCCGGAAUCAUUGGGCGUAAAGAGCGUGUAGGCGGCCCGGUAAGUCCGCCGUGAAAGUCCAGGGCUCAACCCUCGGAUGCCGAUCGAUACUGUCGGGCUAGAGUCCGGAAGAGGCGAGUGGAAUUCCUGGUGUAGCGGUGAAAUGCGCAGAUAUCAGGAGGAACACCAAUGGCGAAGGCAGCUCGCUGGGACGGUACUGACGCUGAGGCGCGAAAGCGUGGGGAGCAAACAGG
Molecule: ribosomal RNA, 253 nt
Filed under: uncultured bacterium
Lineage: Bacteria
Description: partial 16S ribosomal RNA
Rfam family: Bacterial small subunit ribosomal RNA
Source: RNAcentral